Molecule: ribosomal RNA, 898 nt
Filed under: uncultured Bacillota bacterium
Lineage: Bacteria; Bacillati; Bacillota
Description: bacterial SSU rRNA
Rfam family: Bacterial small subunit ribosomal RNA
Source: RNAcentral
CGUGGCGGCUGCUUACCAUGCAGUCGACGGAGAUAUCCUUCGGGAUAUUUUAGUGGCGAACGGGUGAGUAACGCGUGGGUAACCUGCCCUUUUAUCGGGGAUAACUUGUCGAAAGGUGAGCUAAUACCGGAUGUGCUGUUUUGAUCACAUGAUCAAGAUAACAAAGGUGGCCUCUAUAUAUAAGCUACCGUAAAAGGAUGGACCCGCGUCUGAUUAGCUAGUUGGUGGGGUAACGGCCUACCAAGGCGACGAUCAGUAGCCGGCCUGAGAGGGUGAACGGCCACACUGGGACUGAGACACGGCCCAGACUCCUACGGGAGGCAGCAGUGGGGAAUCUUCCGCAAUGGACGAAAGUCUGACGGAGCAACGCCGCGUGAGUGACGAAGGUUUUCGGAUUGUAAAACUCUGUCUUUUGGGACGAACGGUUCAUAUGUAAAUAAUGUAUGAAAUUGACGGUACCGAAGGAGGAAGCCCCGGCUAACUACGUGCCAGCAGCCGCGGUAAUACGUAGGGGGCAAGCGUUGUCCGGAAUUAUUGGGCGUAAAGAGCGCGCAGGCGGUUUUGUAAGUCCACCGUGAAAGCUUACGGCUCAACCGUAACGGGUCGGUGGAUACUGCAAGACUUGAGGGCAGGAGAGGAAAGUGGAAUUCCCAGUGUAGCGGUGAAAUGCGUAGAUAUUGGGAGGAACACCAGUGGCGAAGGCGACUUUCUGGACUGUUACUGACGCUGAGGCGCGAAAGCUGGGGAAGUGAACGGGAUUAGAUACCCCGGUAAUCCCAGCCGUAAACGAUGGGUACUAGGUGUAGGGUGUAUCGACCCCCCCUGUGCCGGAGUUAACGCAAUAAGUACCCCGCCUGGGGAGUACGGUCGCAAGACUGAAACUCAAAGGAAUUGACGG